This 215-nucleotide unclassified non-coding RNA is filed under the name uncultured fungus. RNAcentral's name for it is "partial contains 5.8S ribosomal RNA, internal transcribed spacer 2, and large subunit ribosomal RNA". The stretch from base 1 to 52 matches the Rfam family "5.8S ribosomal RNA", at positions 103 to 154 of the family's 154-position model. The record is from RNAcentral. Lineage: Eukaryota; Fungi.
AACGCAACUUGCGCUCCUUGGUAUUCCAAGGAGCAUGCCUGUUUGAGUGUCAUGAAAUAUGUUUAGAUCUUGAUCUAAGAGUUGGGUGGUUGCCAUUGUAAAGUGGCUCACCUGAAAUAGAUUUAGAAGACAAGUUGGACAAUAAUAAUUGAAGGCCAACUUGGAUUAAUGAGAUAUUUGACCUCAAAUCAGGUAGGACUACCCGCUGAACUUAA